This 449-nucleotide ribosomal RNA is filed under the name uncultured bacterium. RNAcentral's name for it is "partial 16S ribosomal RNA". It matches the Rfam family "Bacterial small subunit ribosomal RNA", at positions 29 to 523 of the family's 1533-position model. The record is from RNAcentral.
AAUGAACGCUGGCGGCAGGCCUAACACAUGCAAGUCUAACGGAUCCUUCGGGAUUAGUGGCGGACGGGUGAGUAACGCGUGGGAACAUACCCUUUGGUACGGAAUAGCCUCGGGAAACUGGGAGUAAUACCGUAUGUGGUCGAGAGACGAAAGAUUUAUCGCCAAAGGAUUGGCCCGCGUUGGAUUAGGUAGUUGGUGGGGUAAUGGCCUACCAAGCCGACGAUCCAUAGCUGGUUUGAGAGGAUGAUCAGCCACACUGGGACUGAGACACGGCCCAGGCUCCUACGGGAGGCAGCAGUGGGGAAGCUUAGUCAAUGGGGGAAACCCUGAUCUAGCCAUGCCGCGUAAUCGAUGAAGGCCUUAGGGUUGUAAAGAUCUUUCAGGUGAGAAGAUAAUGACUGUACCACCAGAAGAAGCCCCGGCUAACUCCGUGCCAGCAGCCGCCGUAA